Molecule: long non-coding RNA, 1148 nt
Filed under: Hordeum vulgare
Lineage: Eukaryota; Viridiplantae; Streptophyta; Magnoliopsida; Poales; Poaceae
Description: long non-coding RNA (HVUL_LNC007873)
Source: RNAcentral
GGGAGACGACAACAGAAUACUGUUUAUUGUCUGCUUAAUAUCGGAAGGGGUACAUGUGUUUAUAUAGGAGGACAGCCUCAACUAAACCUUAGAUAACUUGGACUCUAACUUGGACUGUAAUAUAACUUGGACUCUAAGAUAGGUAAGAUAACUUGGGCUAAGCCCGUAAUUAACCCUGCCCAUUGAGCCUCCUCCGUUGGUACGUUGUACCGGUCAUAACCACCCUCCAUCUCGUAUGAACACUAUAGUGAUAUAAAAUGAGUGUUAAAAGAGUAGCGCACUGUAGCCAGAUAUUUGGGAUUUCAUCAUCCUAGAAACAAGACCGCAGGACACUAAAACUAAUAGGAGUAGGAAGGCAUCCUUGGAAAUAAAACAAGACCAACAUGAGUUGAGGAUGCAAGUGCAUAUCAUGAAUGGUACAUAGAGCACAUAUAUACAUCAAGGCAGACAGGGAUCAAAUUAAGUGGUUUAUACUACAUCCCAAAACAAAUGAGACUGCUCCAUGUGUGUGAUGGAAAACUACAUACAUAUGUGCAUAUAUAUUUAGGUGUGAUGCCUGGUUGUUCAAUAUGAAGAAGUGUUUCAAACUUUCAGUGGGAUGGGAACUAACAUGAAUAUGAGCUAUAUAUAUUCUAUUAGUUACUGCUCAAGAAAUAUAUAUAUUCGGCAAGUUCWAUUUUUUUAUUGCAAUAUAUUCAACAGGUUUCUAGGCUAGUGGCAGCAUGAUAAUAACAAGACAGAUAAACGAACAAACAAACAAAAACAGUAGCCCCAUCGUUAUGCAAGAUUGGCAAGGAUGGACUAUAGCAGCCUAAUCAGACAUAGCAAUGGCAUGAUGGCCACGACGAGCUCAAAGCAACCACUCGAGGCAACGGACAGGAGCUCACCAUGGCUGUUUAUGUAGUCGUUCUGCCGUCGCACGGAAGCAGCGCCAAGGUGUUUGGCACAGUGGACCCCUUGUCGUCUGCAUCGGCAAUUGUGCUAUACCGAAUCAAAUCCAGCUGCACACAAGAGAAAUAACAAAUAAUCUUGAGGUCAAAUCAAAAAACAAAACAAGAAAUCAUGGACUCGAGCUUGGAGAAAAGAUUGGGUGAGCCUAGUUGAGGAAAGGUACAACAACAUCUAUGACCAAGUUGAGGUCAUGAAUA